Molecule: ribosomal RNA, 582 nt
Filed under: Variovorax sp. RDB-017
Lineage: Bacteria; Pseudomonadati; Pseudomonadota; Betaproteobacteria; Burkholderiales; Comamonadaceae
Description: bacterial SSU rRNA
Rfam family: Bacterial small subunit ribosomal RNA
Source: RNAcentral
ACGGGUGAGUAAUACAUCGGAACGUGCCCAAUCGUGGGGGAUAACGCAGCGAAAGCUGUGCUAAUACCGCAUACGAUCUACGGAUGAAAGCAGGGGAUCGCAAGACCUUGCGCGAAUGGAGCGGCCGAUGGCAGAUUAGGUAGUUGGUGAGGUAAAGGCUCACCAAGCCUUCGAUCUGUAGCUGGUCUGAGAGGACGACCAGCCACACUGGGACUGAGACACGGCCCAGACUCCUACGGGAGGCAGCAGUGGGGAAUUUUGGACAAUGGGCGCAAGCCUGAUCCAGCCAUGCCGCGUGCAGGAUGAAGGCCUUCGGGUUGUAAACUGCUUUUGUACGGAACGAAACGGCCUUUUCUAAUAAAGAGGGCUAAUGACGGUACCGUAAGAAUAAGCACCGGCUAACUACGUGCCAGCAGCCGCGGUAAUACGUAGGGUGCAAGCGUUAAUCGGAAUUACUGGGCGUAAAGCGUGCGCAGGCGGUUAUGUAAGACAGUUGUGAAAUCCCCGGGCUCAACCUGGGAACUGCAUCUGUGACUGCAUAGCUAGAGUACGGUAGAGGGGGAUGGAAUUCCGCGUGUAGCA